CCGAGUUUACAACCCCCAAACCCCUGUGAACAUACCACUUGUUGCCUCGGCGGAUCAGCCCGCUCCCGGUAAAACGGGACGGCCCGCCAGAGGACCCCUAAACUCUGUUUCUAUAUGUAACCUCUGAGUAAAACCAUAAAUAAAUCA
RNAcentral lists this unclassified non-coding RNA (147 nucleotides) under soil metagenome. Its description in RNAcentral is "partial internal transcribed spacer 1". The record is from RNAcentral.